This 112-nucleotide long non-coding RNA is filed under the name Papio anubis (olive baboon). RNAcentral describes it as "lncRNA (ENSPANG00000050469.1)". The record is from RNAcentral. Lineage: Eukaryota; Metazoa; Chordata; Mammalia; Primates; Cercopithecidae.
GCAUGGACUGAGAGUAGGAGAGGAGCCCAUCCCCAAAGAAAAGACCCAAAUCCUUGCUUCUGGAUCUGCUCUCAAGCUAAGAAGGUCACUCUCAAGCUAACUCUCAAGCUAA